AUAAGCAUGCAAGUCGAACGGGAUUGUGGGGCUUCGGCCCUACAUGAGAGUGGCGAACGGGUGAGUAACACGUAGGUGAUCUACCCUUGGGUGGGGAAUAGCCCAUGGAAACAUGGAGUAAUACCGCAUAAGGUCUUGACCCUGCGGGGUCUUGAUGAAAGGAGCAAUUGUUCCGCCUGGGGAGGAGCCUGCGGUCCAUUAGCUUGUUGGUGUGGUAAGAGCGCACCAAGGCAACGAUGGAUAGCCGGCCUGAGAGGGUGAACGGUCACACUGGGACUGAGACACGGCCCAGACUCCUACGGGAGGCAGCAGCUAAGAAUCUUCCGCAAUGGGGGAAACCCUGACGGAGCGACGCCGCGUGGGCGAGGAAGGCCGCAAGGUUGUAAAGCCCUUUUCUCCACGAAGAAUAAGGCAAGGAGUGGAACGCCUUGCUGAUGACGUUAGUGGAGGAAGAAGCCCCGGCCAAUUACGUGCCAGCAGCCGCGGUAACACGUAUGGGGCGAGCGUUGUUCGGAAU
RNAcentral lists this ribosomal RNA (517 nucleotides) under uncultured bacterium. Its description in RNAcentral is "bacterial SSU rRNA". It matches the Rfam family "Bacterial small subunit ribosomal RNA", at positions 49 to 551 of the family's 1533-position model. The record is from RNAcentral.